UACAGAGGUGGCAAGCGUUGUUCGGAAUUACUGGGCGUAAAGGGCGCGUAGGCGGCCUUCUAAGUCAGACGUGAAAUCCCCCGGCUUAACCUGGGAACUGCGUCUGAUACUGGACGGCUUGAGUUUGGGAGAGGGAUGCAGAAUUCCAGGUGUAGCGGUGAAAUGCGUAGAUAUCUGGAGGAAUACCGGUGGCGAAGGCGGCAUCCUGGACCAACACUGACGCUGAGGCGCGAAAGCUAGGGGAGCAAACGGG
This 253-nucleotide ribosomal RNA is filed under the name uncultured bacterium. RNAcentral describes it as "partial 16S ribosomal RNA". It matches the Rfam family "Bacterial small subunit ribosomal RNA", at positions 524 to 776 of the family's 1533-position model. The record is from RNAcentral.